AGAUGAAAGCACGCAGCAAGAGUUUUUAAGAUUUUUCAUUGAACAGACUGAAAACAUAUGUUAAAUUAAUUGAAUGAUAAACAAGAUGAGUUCUCCAGCAUAAAAUGAAUCCAACAGGUGACUACCGCUAAGUUAAACUAAUGCUAACGGAUGUUCCCUGUGUAAAAUUUUGAAUCCAGAAUUACCUGCUGGAUGUAUAAAACCUAGCAAUCCGAUAAGGGCCUCGCACUCAGAGCUGGGUAAAAUUUAGUCUGAUUUGUGAGGCAGUAAGAAUUUGAGAUGCGAGGUGGUUGCAUUAGCACAGGAGACCUCAAUAAAUCACUACUGUUAUGGUAGAAAUGCUAUUCUGGGUCAGACUUCUUCCUUUUCCUAUGGAUAUAAUCAAAAUUUAGAGUAUUAGAGGUAUAUAUGGCCACUAUGUGGUAAAGCAACGUGUUUUAUUCACAUACGACCAAAAUCAUUUCAAAGCAAAAUAUGUGUUAAAAUAACACACAACAAUCUCACAAAAAAACUAAGUUUAAAACAGCAUCUAUUAGCUUAGCAAGUUUAAAUAUGACUGCAUUGCAUGCUAGGAGCAUAUCAAGUCUUGUGGACUUAGCUACCAAAAGGCAUAGGAUGCAAUAUAGAAAUCUGUUGACGACACUGCUUUCCUGUUCUGAUGAAAGGUUUGAUACUUAUCAAAUGACAGUUUCCUAAGAUAUAACUGGACAGUUGCUGACUACAGCCUUUUGGAUUGUUCAAGUUCUAAUUGAUCUCAGGUACAUAGCUGCAGAAAAUGUUGCAUAGCAGACUUCUGCUUCUCUCUUCAAAUUUCUUCAAAUGCCUUACAAAUCCAAAAUCUCAGAUAAGUAAAUAAAAGAAGUUGUUAAUACAGAAAUAUAGUACUAGAUGUUGCCAUUAAUUGAUCUGAUGUAGCUUCUUGCAGAUGCUUUUGUAUUGCAGCAUCAUAACUUGACUUAGUCUUAUAUAAUGACUGUAUAAAUUCACUUAUGACGUGCCUGAAAUUACAAUCUUCAGAGAACAUUUGCCAGUGUUAAGAAUUUUCACUGCUUGGAUUUGAGAAAGCUGUCCUAUUAAAAUGUGUUACUCUGAAUGUACAAAUGUAUAUACAUACAAGCAAACUCCUGCAACAGUAAACUACAAACGUUCUGGGUAAGAUGUGAGGGUGGAUUGAAAUGCUUAAGAGCUUAUUUUGGAGCCUUAUUCAUACUUAUUUCCACAUAUGCCUCAGAGAAAAUAGUCACAAAUUAUUCAUGCAGCAGAAUUUAGUCAGUUGUUAAGAAGUAUUUUGCUGAUGCAGAACUGAAAUUCGACCCUUUCAUCUCCUUCAUCUACAGUUAGAUUGCUUCUCCUUUGUUUGGCAUAUGUACUCCUUUCCAGUUGGAAAUCAUUAAACUAUUCAUGGUCUUGAUGGCUGUUGUCUAUCCCAAUAGAUUGCAAGCUCAGCUUGGUAAAAGGAGUUCUACUGUGAAAGUCAUUUCCUAAUAAUUUCCACUGACUGGCAAUUUCAUGUCUAUUUAAAACUAUGACAACAAACCCAUUGAUUACGAUGUCAAGCUGGUUCUGUUGCUGGUUGUUUUUUCUAAUUUUAUCAAACAUAUCAAUGAGGCAAUGACAAAUUCAAAACAGAAUCUACACAUACUAUGCAGUGGGUAAGAAUAAUGCUUUAUCUAUAUUUUCCUAUUCAGCUUGCUUUGGAAAAACAAAUUUCAUUCUUGUUAUGAUCACUAGAGGAUCAGAAGAGAGUGAGAAAUCUGCCUAGGCCUGAGCAUAUGGAGAAGAGAAGGUAAAAAAAAACACCUAUAUCCUGCUUUGCAGUGAAGAUAUGAAAGGAAAAAUUCAACAUCUCCUGAGAGGAAUGGAAGUAGAGAGACUCCUAGAAGCAACUCUUCUCAAGGCCUUCCAGAGAAACAUGACUCUGUAGAGAUGCUUUAGGAGGAGGACACGCAAGACUAUGCUGGAUACCCUAAGACCUCACAGCAAGUCAUUGAAAUGCCUGCAGUAUAUCUUGGACCCCUGAAAGAACAAACAAGUCAAGGAACAAGUGUGUGAACCAGGCUUGGAACAAGCAAAGCAUUUUAUAAAUGACAGAUGUGGAAGGUACCCUUGAAGUGUGCAAUUGCAGAAAAAAACUGAGUAUGAAUGUUUCUGUGCAGAAAGUAGUGAUGGCAUGUGAGUCUGAUCUCACAGAAGAUGGGUUAUGUUGUCAGUGCAAAAUAUACAUAGAUGGAAUAAGAUGAAUUAAGUAAAUAAACAGGAAGAGAACUGGGGAUGCUAAUAAAUUUAAA
Molecule: non-coding RNA, 2288 nt
Organism: Meleagris gallopavo (turkey)
Lineage: Eukaryota; Metazoa; Chordata; Aves; Galliformes; Phasianidae
Source: RefSeq, a predicted model, not a curated record